GACGAACGCUGGCGGCGUGCUUAACACAUGCAAGUCGAACGGAAAGGCCCUGCUUUCGUGGGGUGCUCGAGUGGCGAACGGGUGAGUAACACGUGAGUAACCUGCCCUUGACUUUGGGAUAACUUCAGGUAACUGGGGCUAAUACCGGAUCGGAGCUGCUGCUGCAUGGUGGGGGUUGGAAAGUUUCGGCGGUUGGGGAUGGACUCGCGGCUUAUCAGCUUGUUGGUGGGGUAGUGGCUUACCAAGGCUUUGACGGGUAGCCGGCCUGAGAGGGUGACCGGCCACAUUGGGACUGAGAUACGGCCCAGACUCCUACGGGAGGCAGCAGUGGGGAAUAUUGCACAAUGGGCGGAAGCCUGAUGCAGCAACGCCGCGUGCGGGAUGACGGCCUUCGGGUUGUAAACCGCUUUCGCCUGUGACGAAGCGUGAGUGACGGUAAUGGGUAAAGAAGCACCGGCUAACUACGUG
RNAcentral lists this ribosomal RNA (468 nucleotides) under uncultured bacterium. RNAcentral describes it as "partial 16S ribosomal RNA". It matches the Rfam family "Bacterial small subunit ribosomal RNA", at positions 28 to 507 of the family's 1533-position model. The record is from RNAcentral.